Molecule: unclassified non-coding RNA, 198 nt
Filed under: uncultured Basidiomycota
Lineage: Eukaryota; Fungi; Basidiomycota
Description: sequence contains ITS1
Source: RNAcentral
CCGCAUUGUCGACACGAGUUGUUGCUGGCCCUCAAACGGGGCACGUGCACGCUCUGUUCGCAUCCACUCACACCUGUGCACCUCUUGUAGUCCUGCGGUUGGAGAGGCACCCGCCUUUCCUUCUGGAGCUCUACGUCUUUACGCACACACCGUAUCAUGGUCUUAUGGAAUGCACGCAGUGUUUAACGCAAUACAGUA